RNAcentral lists this ribosomal RNA (1226 nucleotides) under Leuconostoc lactis. RNAcentral's name for it is "bacterial SSU rRNA". It matches the Rfam family "Bacterial small subunit ribosomal RNA", at positions 139 to 1352 of the family's 1533-position model. Lineage: Bacteria; Bacillati; Bacillota; Bacilli; Lactobacillales; Lactobacillaceae. The record is from RNAcentral.
GGGGAUAACAUUUGGUAAACAGAUGCUAAUACCGAAUAAAACUUAGUAUCGCAUGAUACAAAGUUGAAAGGCGCUACGGCGUCACCUAGAGAUGGGUCCGCGGUGCAUUAGUUAGUUGGUGGGGUAAAGGCCUACCAAGACAAUGAUGCAUAGCCGAGUUGAGAGACUGAUCGGCCACAUUGGGACUGAGACACGGCCCAAACUCCUACGGGAGGCUGCAGUAGGGAAUCUUCCACAAUGGGCGAAAGCCUGAUGGAGCAACGCCGCGUGUGUGAUGAAGGCUUUAGGGUCGUAAAGCACUGUUGUAUGGGAAGAAAUGCUAGAAUAGGGAAUGAUUCUAGUUCGACGGUACCAUACCAGAAAGGGACGGCUAAAUACGUGCCAGCAGCCGCGGUAAUACGUAUGUCCCGAGCGUUAUCCGGAUUUAUUGGGCGUAAAGCGAGCGCAGACGGUUGAUUAAGUCUGAUGUGAAAGCCCGGAGCUCAACUCCGGAAUGGCAUUGGAAACUGGUUAACUUGAGUGUUGUAGAGGUAAGUGGAACUCCAUGUGUAGCGGUGGAAUGCGUAGAUAUAUGGAAGAACACCAGUGGCGAAGGCGGCUUACUGGACAACAACUGACGUUGAGGCUCGAAAGUGUGGGUAGCAAACAGGAUUAGAUACCCUGGUAGUCCACACCGUAAACGAUGAAUACUAGGUGUUAGGAGGUUUCCGCCUCUUAGUGCCGAAGCUAACGCAUUAAGUAUUCCGCCUGGGGAGUACGACCGCAAGGUUGAAACUCAAAGGAAUUGACGGGGACCCGCACAAGCGGUGGAGCAUGUGGUUUAAUUCGAAGCAACGCGAAGAACCUUACCAGGUCUUGACAUCCUUUGAAGCUUUUAGAGAUAGAAGUGUUCUCUUCGGAGACAAAGUGACAGGUGGUGCAUGGUCGUCGUCAGCUCGUGUCGUGAGAUGUUGGGUUAAGUCCCGCAACGAGCGCAACCCUUAUUGUUAGUUGCCAGCAUUCAGUUGGGCACUCUAACGAGACUGCCGGUGACAAACCGGAGGAAGGCGGGGACGACGUCAGAUCAUCAUGCCCCUUAUGACCUGGGCUACACACGUGCUACAAUGGCGUAUACAACGAGUUGCCAACCCGCGAGGGUGAGCUAAUCUCUUAAAGUACGUCUCAGUUCGGACUGCAGUCUGCAACUCGACUGCACGAAGUCGGAAUCGCUAGUAAUCGCGGAUCAG